GAUGAACGCUAGCGGCGGCCUAAUACAUGCAAGUCGAACGAGAUUAGAGAGCUUGCUCUCUAUGAAAGUGGCGCACGGGUGCGUAACGCGUAUGCAAUCUACCUUAAUCAGGGGGAUAGCCCGGAGAAAUCCGGAUUAAUACCGCAUAACAUUAUUGAAUGGCAUCAUUUAAUAUCAAACAUUUAUGGGAUUAAGAUGAG
This 200-nucleotide ribosomal RNA is filed under the name uncultured bacterium. RNAcentral's name for it is "partial 16S ribosomal RNA". It matches the Rfam family "Bacterial small subunit ribosomal RNA", at positions 28 to 229 of the family's 1533-position model. The record is from RNAcentral.